Molecule: non-coding RNA, 3361 nt
Organism: Vicugna pacos (alpaca)
Lineage: Eukaryota; Metazoa; Chordata; Mammalia; Artiodactyla; Camelidae
Source: RefSeq, a predicted model, not a curated record
AACAUGAAUCUGGGCCUUUGGUAAGUUAUGGUCUUUGCUCCCAGCCAAGAACACAAUGUUAAGAUGGCUAGUGUUUUUUGUCCUGACCAGUGUUACCAAGCAAAGGUCAUGAAUGUUUGCUCUGGUUGGGUAAUGCCAGGCUGUCAGAUGGGAAGUGGGCAAUGAUCAGGUGGUAGGAGGGAGAGCCUUUGCCUUGACUGGUGAGGGGAUGAGGAUGUAAGAAGGCGCCUCCUCUGACCACCUUCCCUAAGUGUUUCACUGUCACAUUGUUUCCUUCUGACAUCAUUUCAUCCUGGGCUUCACAAUCAUCAUGUCAAACACUCUGAAAACUUGUUGAAAAGGCGUCUCUUUUGAAGAAUUAGGAGACAGGACCACACACCCUACUCCCCUAACUAGCUCUUAUUUCUCUUUGGACAGACCUGGCCCCAGCCUCUACGAAUGUGUUGAAGAUGAGCUUAUCCCUGGGAGCCAGAGCCCACUCCUGGCCUGCAGGUUGAAGACUGAGCCCCAGGACGUGGUGCUUCAACCGACCUGCUGCCGUAGAGACCGUGUGCAGCCAGUGGGACCCCCCCCUCCGUAUACCCAGUCACUCCACUCUGAUCCGCAUUCCAGGGAGAUGGCUCUGGCUGAGGCGCGGAGCAGGGCUUGGGUAUAGGACAGACUAGAGUCGAGGAGACCAGGCAGGAGGCAAAGGGCCAGGGUGAGGCCAGUGGCCUUGAGGACACAGAGGAAAGGAUGAGUCUGGACAGAUGUUGCAGGCGGAGUAGACGGGACUCAGUGCCUGAUUGGGUGGGUGGGUGAGUCAGGGCACAGCCUCUUAGAUGACACCACAAAGACACAAAGGUUUCCCAUUGGGUGACUUGGGGUGGGGAGAGGCUCUCACUAGUUGGACCUUCAUGGAGAGCAGUGAGUUUAAAGGGGAAACCAACAAGUUUGAGUUUGAGGUGCUAGGGGGAGCCCCAGCACAGAUGCCCAGAAAAAAGGGCCAUGGGCUCUAUGGGCUAGGAGUUCAGGAGAGAGAUUCCUCUAGGCUAGAAAUACAGACUUGGGCAAAACAACAAAUAUUAGUCAUGAAUUAAGGAGAGCCUGAGCUCACCCAGAGAGGACCUCCGGAGAGAGGAGACAGGAGGGCCAGGGACAGAGUCCUGGAAAAUACUGAGGUGUGGGGCUGAGGGGACCUGUGGGCAGAGCAGAGGGCAAGGAGCCAGCACAGGAGCCCGAGAAGCAGCAAAUAUGGAUGAGGAGGAGUCAGAAUGUGGGGAGGUCAAGACAGGAGAGCGUUUAAGAAGUGAGUAGUCAAAUGCCACCGAGAGGUCCAGAAACUAGGCUGGGAAGGCCUGCGGAUUUUGCAUCUGGACAUCACUGGUGACCUUUGUCAGAGCAGGGCCUGUGGCUUGUGGGUCAGCAGAGGGAGGGCAGGGCGUUGAGGAGUGACAGAGGUGGGAGGAAAGGAAGCAGGCCCAGGAGGGGUAGAAAGAACAUUCCUUGGAGGGCACAGGCUGAGAGAAGACCCCCGGCCAGGAGAGGUAGGGUCCUGGGAGAAGCUUAGAAAGUUGAGAGGAAGAGCCAGUCAAGAGGGAGAGAUUUAAAGUACGGGGAUAUGAGUGGAUAACUGAAAGAGAACUUUCUAGGAGGAGCCAGAAGGGGUGGGUUUCCCCUUAGAACGGGUAAGGAGGCUGUAGAAUUAAUGAGCCCAUCCUCACUGCAAAACCAUUCAAAAAAGCUGUCAGGAGGGCUUCAGACACAUUUUUUUUUUUAGGGAUUUCACUUUUUUCCAAACCCACUGUGCACUGCAUAAAGUUUGCAAGGAUCAUCUAACCAGUUAUGCCGUCACCACGCUAACUACCAAGGGGACUGAUUGUUGGGUGGAAUUGUACUUUAAUCAGCAAGUGACUGUCCCAAGCGAGGGAGACUUUCCCAGGUGCUGCAGGAGGAGAGCAGAGGCAGCUGACUGUUGUGCAACUGACCAUAAAAAGGAGCCAGAAGGAGGUGGAAACAAAAGGCAUGUAAUGGAGAAGGUAAACUACUCAGGUCAUAGAAAGAAGUAGUAUCAAGUCAGUAUGAGAGCCACGUUGGUCAUGACAUCCCUUUUUAUCCUCUGUCUCACUCUUCAGUCUCUCCUUAUCUUAAAUCUCUUUCUGUCCUCUGUCACUCUUGCUUCUACCCCAGGCCAUGUUAUAAAUUCAUCCAGCCAUCCCUGGCCCUCUCUCCUUACUGAAGUCUUUCUCCCUGUUCUUUGGAACCUGGUUUCUCUCCAGCUUACUGACUCGUCUCCAUCCAUUGUUCCACUGACCCAGAAGUGAACUUGGACUUGGGGCAGGACAGAAGGUAGCAGAAACUUCCGUGAUGCCUGCUCUCCCUGGAUGUGAUCUCCCUUUGGGCAGAAGCUGAGAAGCAUCCAAAAUCUGGUCCCUGCAUGGCACCUCCUAGCCUGGCCUGGGCUCCCAGCAGGCAGAAGUCACCCCUCCCCUUUGCUUCCCCUUGUCCCCUCUUCUGAGAGAAACAAAGAGAGAGAGCGCACGAGACAGAGCAAAAGAGAGAUUGACUGAAGUUUAAUAUUUUCCCUGGAGAUAUACACUCAAGAGAAGGCAAAGGAGUUAUCAGAGGCCACACCCAUUUCUCUGGGUCUCAAAAAUGAGAAAAUUGAGUCCCUAGGCCCAUCUCUUAACUCACUUUACCCUCCCCUACCUCACCCCUUUUUAAGACCCGUCCGUAAAAGAAAAAAAUAGUUCUUGUUUGGGCCCAUUUAUUAUCUGAAUAAUAAUAAAUGAAUAGGUAAAAUUAUGGUUCAAAAUUCAAAAUGUACAAAAGGAUUUAUAAUACUAAGUCUCCUCUCUCUCUGGUCCCCACUUCCCAGUUUCCCUCACCAGAGGCAACCUGUGUUACCUGUUUCUUCUGAAUAUGCAUCUAUAGGAAAAUAUUUGUAUUAUCCUCCCUUCUAAUACACAAAUGGAAGUACCCUAUACACAGUUCUGCACCUUGCCCCUUUCACUGGAAGAUGAUUCCCUAUAAAGAGAUGUAAUUAGUUUUAUAAUUGCAUAGUAUUGCAUUGUUAAGGCUGUAUCAGAAUUUAUUUAACCAAUCCUCUAGGGAAGGAUGGUUCUGCUGUUUCCAAUCUCUUUCUAUUUGUAUACCAAUCCCUAACCCAGACCCUCCUCCCCUGCCUCAAACCAGGACAGUGAUGGGGAGAGGCUCCUCCCCCAGAGGCUGGCCUUAUUUGCAUGCCCACAUGUGACUGGACAGCCCCUGGCCCCCUGACUGGAGUUCCUGGUUCUUCCUGCUUCUCACAAUUGGUGCCCACCCAGCCUCCCUUGCUGGCUGUUACAGAGUACAGAGGGCAUUGGUCACACACAGACCUGGC